AUUGAACGCUGGCGGCAGGCCUAACACAUGCAAGUCGAGCGGAUGAAGGGAGCUUGCUCCUGGAUUCAGCGGCGGACGGGUGAGUAAUGCCUAGGAAUCUGCCUGGUAGUGGGGGAUAACGUUCGGAAACGGGCGCUAAUACCGCAUACGUCCUGAGGGAGAAAGUGGGGGAUCUUCGGACCUCUCGCUAUCAGAUGAGCCUAGGUCGGAUUAGCUAGUUGGUGGGGUAAAGGCCUACCAAGGCGACGAUCCGUAACUGGUCUGAGAGGAUGAUCAGUCACACUGGAACUGAGACACGGUCCAGACUCCUACGGGAGGCAGCAGUGGGGAAUAUUGGACAAUGGGCGAAAGCCUGAUCCAGCCAUGCCGCGUGUGUGAAGAAGGUCUUCGGAUUGUAAAGCACUUUAAGUUGGGAGGAAGGGCAGUAAGUUAAUACCUUGCUGUUUUGACGUUACCAACAGAAUAAGCACCGGCUAACUUCGUG
Molecule: ribosomal RNA, 484 nt
Filed under: uncultured bacterium
Lineage: Bacteria
Description: partial 16S ribosomal RNA
Rfam family: Bacterial small subunit ribosomal RNA
Source: RNAcentral